GGACAACAGAGAUGACAUCAAUGCCAAAUGGCCUAAGUUCCAGUCUCAAGGUAUCAGUAAAUGAAUGUACAGCAGCUUUGGAUGCACUAUAAGCACUAGACCAUGGACCUGGAGAUAAAGCACUGCAACUUCCAACGUUGACAAUUUUCCCUUGUUUCCUGGAAGCCAUGUGCGGAACAACAGAUUGAAUUAACCUUAUGGGACCAAAAACAUUGGUAUUGAAGGUAUGUUGAAUAGCAGAUAAAGGGAGUUCAGCCAGAGGCCCAACACACUGUAUACCAGCGUUAUUAACAAGAACAUCAAUUCGCCCAAAUUUGUCAACAACUUUUGUGAGUACCUUCGUCACAUUUUGUUCAGAUAAAACAUCAAGUUCUUGAAGAAAGAAUCGUGGAUCAUUUUGGAAAUCUGACAUGGAUUUAAGCGAUCGAGCUGUAGCUACAACAAGGCAAUCCUUAGCAGCAAAAGCUCGAGCUAGCUCAUGGCCUAUGCCGCCAUUUGAGCAGCCAGUUAUCAGAACUACUUCUCUGUUUUCUUCCAUGAAAAAGAGAGGUUUG
This 554-nucleotide unclassified non-coding RNA is filed under the name Hevea brasiliensis (rubber tree). Lineage: Eukaryota; Viridiplantae; Streptophyta; Magnoliopsida; Malpighiales; Euphorbiaceae. The record is from RNAcentral.